CUAUUGGCCUUUUUCGAGGCCACCAUACAGCUUGAAUGCCAAAGAUU
Molecule: non-coding RNA, 47 nt
Organism: Clonorchis sinensis
Lineage: Eukaryota; Metazoa; Platyhelminthes; Trematoda; Opisthorchiida; Opisthorchiidae
Source: Rfam